UUUAAUCUCUCAAAAAUUAAAAAAAAAGUUAAGUUAAAAUACAUUUUAAAUACAAAAAACUUAAACAAUGAAUAAUUUAUUUAUUUUUUUUCAAAAUUUAAAUAUCUGAACCCGACCCAAAAUAUCUGAACCCGAACAUAAAAUACCCGAACCCGACUCGAAGUGUAGAAAUACCCGAACGGGUUCUAUACCUUUAUACUGAAAUAUCCGAUACAAACCCGAACGUGUUUUUUGAACGCCAACCCCUAUGAUAUAUGAUCAUUUGUAUCUUGCUUGAACAAAAAAAGUUAAACCAUUGAUCACAAAUUUUUUAAUGUGGGACUUUUACCAUUUUUAGUAAUUUAUAAUUGUUUUU
Molecule: long non-coding RNA, 355 nt
Filed under: Brassica rapa (field mustard)
Lineage: Eukaryota; Viridiplantae; Streptophyta; Magnoliopsida; Brassicales; Brassicaceae
Description: long non-coding RNA (BRAP_LNC001398)
Source: RNAcentral